Molecule: non-coding RNA, 67 nt
Organism: Equus caballus (horse)
Lineage: Eukaryota; Metazoa; Chordata; Mammalia; Perissodactyla; Equidae
Source: Rfam
AGGUCCUCAAUAAGUAUUUGUUGAAAGAAUAAAUGAACCAACAAGUCUUAUUUGAGCACCUGUUAUG